UACGUAGGGGGCAAGCGUUGUCCGGAUUUAUUGGGCGUAAAGAGCGUGUAGGCGGUUUGGUAGGUCCGCUGUGAAAACUCGAGGCUCAACUUCGAGCUGUCGGUGGAAACUUUCUGGCUAGAGUCCGGAAGAGGAGAAUGGAAUUCCUGGUGUAGCGGUGAAAUGCGCAGAUAUCAGGAAGAACACCCGUGGCGAAGGCGGUUCUCUGGGACGGUACUGACGCUGAGACGCGAAAGCGUGGGGAGCGAACAGG
Molecule: ribosomal RNA, 253 nt
Filed under: uncultured bacterium
Lineage: Bacteria
Description: partial 16S ribosomal RNA
Rfam family: Bacterial small subunit ribosomal RNA
Source: RNAcentral